This 269-nucleotide long non-coding RNA is filed under the name Elaeis guineensis (African oil palm). Its description in RNAcentral is "long non-coding RNA (EGUI_LNC072012)". Lineage: Eukaryota; Viridiplantae; Streptophyta; Magnoliopsida; Arecales; Arecaceae. The record is from RNAcentral.
GUCCUAAGAAAAGUAGAAGUUUCAAGACCUUUAGAUCAAGAAAAAUUUUCUUCAAAUUGAAAAAGAUCUUACAGAACAAUUGAAAUACUCAGUCCAAGUGCAUAUCGACUGAACACCCUUGAGGGAGCAGCUAUUCCUCGAAUGUGAAAUGCUGACAACCUAAAGAAGUACUAUCAAUAAAGCUGUUUACAUAUAUAGUAUUCAGAAUAAAAUGAUAAAUUUUAGAAUCACAAAUUUCAGCCAACUACAAAGUAAUGGACGGUCAAUUC